AGUCCUCCCUCCAGCCUGCCUCUUUCUCCUCCUUUCCUUCCUCUCCUCUGCUCUCCAAAUUUCACUGCCACCACCACCCGUGUAUAUGAUAUGAGAGCCUCCUCGUCUUCUUCGCCCUUUUAUUUUUCCUUCUCUUCUCUUAGAUCUCUGCCACCCAUUUGCUGUUUAGUGAAGAGUCUUAAAAGAGAGAAUUUUGGGGUAAAAGAUUGAUUUGUUAUGGCUGUCUGUCUGGGCAAUUUCUCAUAAAUUGGAAGUGAAUUUUGGGAGAUUGAAUGUAUGUUUACUACGACUAUUACAUCCUAUUGUCCGGGUAUUCAUUGGCUUACAAGGAAAUUUCUCCCCUCUAAUUACGUAAUUAAUUUGGCAUGGUGUAGUGCACUUAUUAUACUUGACUAGUAUUGAUUGUAUGUAGUUUAAAUAUAAUUGUUUCAAUGUUCCUAAUCUAUGAGAUUGGUGCAGUGUUUUGGUUGGCUGAAGAUACAUCUACAGUUACAAAAAGCAAGUUUUUGUGGAAAGGGAACAAACAAGACACAACAAAACUCCGGACUCUCAAAAAAUUGGAGACGAAGAAGAUGGAGAAGAAAAAUGAAACAAUCAAAAGGGCUGAGAAGUUAGUUGAAACCAUGAUGAAAGGAAAUGACGCUUCCCAUGAUGCAGCUCACGCUUUCAGAGUUAGAGAUUUGGCUCUCUCUCUAGCGCAUGAAGAAGGGCUUCAUCAGUCCUCUGACUCAAUGCAGAUUGUGGAGCUGGCUGCACUUCUCCAUGACAUUGGGGACUACAAAUACAAGAGAGAUCCAUCAGAGGAGAAGAUUGUUGAAGAAUUUCUGGAGGGUGAGGGUGUGGACGACAGCAAGAAGAUGAAGAUAUUAAGUAUCAUAAACAGAAUGGAGCAAAUUUCUGGCUGUUACUUCCUCCCGUCAGUCCAACCAUGAAGAGAAAAGUUACUGGGCUGACUAAAUGUAUUUGACUGGUUCACAUACUUGCGCCAAUGAAGGUUUUAAAGAGGAGCUUCAAGGGCUUCAAGUUGGAAAUGAUGCACUAGAAUUUGGAGUUGUGCAAGAUGCUGAUCGACUUGAUGCUAUUGGCGCUAUUGGUAUUGCUCGUUGUUUUACAUUUGGAGGCAGCAGGCACAGAGUCCUGCAUGACCCUAGCAUUCUACCUCGAUCAGAUUUGUCAAGGGAGCAAUACAUGAAGAAAGAGGAGCAGACAACCGUGAAUCAUUUUCAUGAGAAGCUUCUAAAAUUAAAGGACUUAAUGAAAACAAAGGCUGGGCAGAGAAGGGCUCAAAGGAGGCAUAAAUUCAUGGAACAAUUUUUGGAAGAGUUCUAUGAAGAGUGGGAUGGAAGAGCAUGAAUAAGAAAGCAAAAAAUUUUCGAAAUGCUCACUGGACCAGUGGGGUGGCCAAGAGACUGUUGGAUGUUGUUGGAUCACUGAAAUUUGUUCAAAUAAAGUCAGUGUAGGAAGGAAAACUUCUGGUGAAAAGACGGUAAAUUUUUUACUGCUAUUGGAAUAAAAGGGAGGUCUAGUCUUGUUGCUGUUGAAUCGUUGAUAAGGCAUAAUUUCUAAAUAAUCUAUGAGGUUAAUCAAGUGCUGGACUGGACUUGUAUCUCUUUGUUUCUUUUGGUGGAUCCACUGUUCCCAUUGGUCUAUGGCUUUUCUUAGAUACUAGCACAAAUAACAGAAACUUUUGAUGAUAUUAUGCUUAUUUGGCUAA
Non-coding RNA from Coffea arabica (coffee), 1714 nucleotides. NCBI's taxonomy places the organism in Eukaryota, Viridiplantae, Streptophyta, Magnoliopsida, Gentianales, Rubiaceae. The record is from RefSeq and is a predicted model, not a curated record.